GGGGCUUUGGUGUAGUGGUGACAUAGCAGUCGGAUGGGCUGCAGAGGACAGUUCUAAUCUGUCAGGCUCCA
Molecule: non-coding RNA, 71 nt
Organism: Ramularia collo-cygni
Lineage: Eukaryota; Fungi; Ascomycota; Dothideomycetes; Mycosphaerellales; Mycosphaerellaceae
Source: the annotation of a RefSeq genome assembly